UUUGAUCCUGGCUCAGAUUGAACGCUGGCGGCAUGCUUUACACAUGCAAGUCGAACGGCAGCGCGGGGCAACCUGGCGGCGAGUGGCGAACGGGUGAGUAAUAUAUCGGAACGUACCCAAGAUGGGGGAUAACGUAGCGAAAGUUACGCUAAUACCGCAUACGAUCUAAGGAUGAAAGCAGGGGAUCUUCGGACCUUGUGCUCCUGGAGCGGCCGAUAUCUGAUUAGCUAGUUGGUGAGGUAAAGGCUCACCAAGGCCACGAUCAGUAGCUGGUCUGAGAGGACGACCAGCCACACUGGAACUGAGACACGGUCCAGACUCCUACGGGAGGCAGCAGUGGGGAAUUUUGGACAAUGGGCGAAAGCCUGAUCCAGCAAUGCCGCGUGAGUGAAGAAGGCCUUCGGGUUGUAAAGCUCUUUUGUCAGGGAAGAAACGGUUUGGGCUAAUAUCCUGAGCUAAUGACGGUACCUGAAGAAUAAGCACCGGCUAACUACGUG
This 497-nucleotide ribosomal RNA is filed under the name uncultured Massilia sp. RNAcentral's name for it is "bacterial SSU rRNA". It matches the Rfam family "Bacterial small subunit ribosomal RNA", at positions 12 to 507 of the family's 1533-position model. Lineage: Bacteria; Pseudomonadati; Pseudomonadota; Betaproteobacteria; Burkholderiales; Oxalobacteraceae. The record is from RNAcentral.